Molecule: ribosomal RNA, 637 nt
Filed under: uncultured bacterium
Lineage: Bacteria
Description: bacterial SSU rRNA
Rfam family: Bacterial small subunit ribosomal RNA
Source: RNAcentral
CGGUGACUAGUUGGCAGCAAUGUUGACUAGUUGUAGUGGCGAAAGGGUGAGUAACACGUGGGUAAUCUGCCGUGAAGUUCGGGAUAACCUCGAGAAAUCGGGACUAAUACCGGAUGUGAUAUCUUGGAGGCAUUUCCAAGAUCUUAAAGCUGGGGACCGAAAGGCCUGGCGCUUCAUGAUGAGCCCGCGACCUAUCAGCUUGUUGGUAAGGUAACGGCUUACCAAGGCGACGACGGGUAGCCGGUCUGAGAGGACGAUCGGCCACACUGGAACUGAGACACGGUCCAGACACCUACGGGUGGCAGCAGUCGAGAAUCUUUCACAAUGGGGGAAACCCUGAUGGAGCGACACCGCGUGGGGGAUGAAUGGCUUCGGUCCGUAAACCCCUGUCAUUUGUUAACAAACCUCUUAAAUUAAUAGCUUAAGAGCUGAUAGUAGCAAAAGAGGAAGGGACGGCUAACUCCGUGCCAGCAGCCGCGGUAAUACGGAGGUCCCAAGCGUUGUUCGGAUUCACUGGGCGUAAAGGGUGCGUAGGCGGUUAGGUAAGUUCGAUGUGAAAGCUCCGAGCUCAACUCGGAAAUGGCAUUGAAAACUACCUAACUUGAGGGUCGGAAGGGAGACUGGAAUUCUCAGUGUA